RNAcentral lists this ribosomal RNA (301 nucleotides) under uncultured bacterium. RNAcentral describes it as "partial 16S ribosomal RNA". It matches the Rfam family "Bacterial small subunit ribosomal RNA", at positions 509 to 808 of the family's 1533-position model. The record is from RNAcentral.
CAGUCGCCGCGGGAAUACGUAGGUCCCAAGCGUUGUCCGGAUUUAUUGGGCGUAAAGCGAGCGCAGGCGGUUAGAUAAGUCUGAAGUGAAAGGCAGUGGCUCAACCAUUGUAGGCUUUGGAAACUGUUUAACUUGAGUGCAGAAGGGGAGAGUGGAAUUCCAUGUGUAGCGGUGAAAUGCGUAGAUAUAUGGAGGAACACCGGUGGCGAAAGCGGCUCUCUGGUCUGUAACUGACGCUGAGGCUCGAAAGCGUGGGGAGCGAACAGGAUUAGAUACCCGAGUAGUCCCUGUCUCUUAUACC